UGGCGCGCUUUUGAAAGUUUCUACCAUGGAUAAAUUACUUCAUGGAUUUUAGAAAAAAAAGUAUUUCUUUUUCAUUAAUUUUGAUCUUUUUCAUGCACUAAAACUAUUAUAUUUUAUUUUAGUAGAAAAAGGGAAAUAUUAUGGAAUAAAACUCAACCAAUUAGAUUUCGUAGGUAAACAUUUUAUCCAAAAGAAAAAAAAAAGCAAUAAAAGUUAAACUUUUGAACUCAUAAAUCACUGUUUCUUGAAUGUUUUAUUUUACAACAGAAGAACAUUCACGGCAAAAGACACAAAGAACAAUUAACAUGCUGUUUAAUGAGCUUUUUGUUAAUGUGCUCCAGACACUCCCCGACCCAAACACACCAUCUAUCUUUUGUCAUGCUUUUAUUGCGAUCUAUUUUCAAGCGAAACAAAAACAUUUCCAAAUUUUUCAUUUUGCACAUUUCCUGGGUAGGAAAUCUUAGCGUUUUCGGGCAAACAAACGAAAACAAACACAGCAGCCGGCAAUUUGUGCUUUUGUGUGUGGAAUUUUGGCAGCUGCCGUAGAAAAACCAGAUAUUACACUAAGCUACAAGGUAGAAGAACAAGUUUUCAGGAGUUUUCAUUUUUAAUAAUUUUUUUAUUAAAGUUUUUGAGAUUUUUUUUCGAAAAAAAGAGUAAUUUAAUUAAAAUCAAACAUUGAUGUAAAGUAUUUCCUGUUGUUUAGUGUUUUUGCGUCGCAUCUUGUAAAUACGCAACAAGAUGCGCAAUAAGAAAAUCCGUACUGGCCACAAAAUAACAAAAACAAAAAAAAAAAAAACAGGAACAUGAAGCGCGCAUUUUGUAAAAAUGGCAAAAACUGAAAACAAACAAAACUUAAAUGCGCCACAUCUGGCAACAUUGCUAAAACCAACAAACAUGACAUCACUUUUUUGCGCACUCACCAAAGUAAUAAAAGCACGCCCCGAGUUGGGGCGGGAUGGGUGGUGGGGAUUGAAAGGGCGAUAGAGAGCGGCUAUGGCAGCGGAGAGCGAGCCAGCGCGUCGCCGUUUUACCGCUCUCCCGCUUAAGCUCACUCUUCCACUCUCUCUCUCUCGCUGUCUCUCUGGCCCAUGUUAUACACAAGCAACGGAGCGAAAAUAAAAAAUAAUAACACGAAUGAGAGAAGGGAAACAUAAAGGUAAAAAUUGGGGAAGCUGCUGGAAUGGGGCUGAUCGGAUGAAGGGAGGGUGGGGGAUGGGGGGAUGGGGGAGUGGGAGCAUAUCUCCCCAGUUGAUUAAAAACAGUGUUGCCACCGGGCUGCCGAAAAAAUGUUGGGUCCCAAUCGCCCCCAACAUCUUCUUGGUCAUUUAUUUCCUCUAUUGUUGUCAAACAGACGGUGAAAUGAACACAAAAAAAAAAGAAGCGAACCAAAUGACACAAGCUGACAUCCCAGAAAAACAUCAGAGAACAAAUGCGGCAAACUAUUUGGAACGCGCUCACAAACCAAAAGAACCAUCAGUGACAAGCACACCUGAGAUCCUAUUGGAACUCCCCUGACUGUGUCACGUAACUAGGUAAUAGGACCAGAGUGCACGGUGGGCUGGCAGCUCAAAAGCGAUCCCAUUUGAAUACGACAUCAUGCAUAACUAAAGUUCUGACCACAGAGCUCUAUAUAUAGAAUUUACUACUCCCGAUUAAUUCUUCGCUUGAUUUACGCUCCCCAAUAUUUUCGGGGGCCUUAAGUGAUUUGAGAUUAUUUUGUGCUAUUGAUAACUCCCUACCCGACUGCCUGACUGCCUGCCUGACUAAAAAAUGAUAAGGAUUCGCCUCGAAGAUUGAUGAUGACAUUGGUAUCAACAAAAAUAAUAUAUAUAAACGAUACUUUAUUGUUUUUAAA
This is a long non-coding RNA of Drosophila ananassae, 1858 nucleotides long. RefSeq lists it as uncharacterized. NCBI's taxonomy places the organism in Eukaryota, Metazoa, Arthropoda, Insecta, Diptera, Drosophilidae. The record is from RefSeq and is a predicted model, not a curated record. The transcript is spliced from 2 exons.